This 253-nucleotide ribosomal RNA is filed under the name uncultured bacterium. RNAcentral's name for it is "partial 16S ribosomal RNA". It matches the Rfam family "Bacterial small subunit ribosomal RNA", at positions 524 to 776 of the family's 1533-position model. The record is from RNAcentral.
UACGGAGGGUGCGAGCGUUGUCCGGAAUCACUGGGCGUAAAGGGCGCGUAGGCGGCCGUGUAAGUCACUUGUGAAAUCCCGGGGCUCAACUCCGGGGCUGCAGGUGAGACUGCAUGGCUAGAGCUCGGUAGAGGCAAGUGGAAUUCCCGGUGUAGCGGUGGAAUGCGUAGAUAUCGGGAAGAACACCGGUGGCGAAGGCGGCUUGCUGGGCCGUAGCUGACGCUGAGGCGCGAAAGCGUGGGGAGCGAACAGG